UAGAACCGGGGUAAGCGUGUAGGAGGAGGACCAGGUAAAUCCGGGCCUCAUAAACUCUGAGACGUGAUACCGAGCCGCUUCAGGCGAAGUCAUUGAUCCUAUGCUGCCUAGAAAAGCCCAGCAGCGAGUUGACAUGGUGCCCGUACCCCAAACCAACACAGGUGGACAGGUAGAGCAUACCAAGGCGAGUGGGAUAACUAUGGUUAAGGAACUCGGCAAAUUGCCUCCGUAACUUCGGGAGAAGGAGGACCCCAGUAGCGUGAUGAGACUUGCUCUCUGAGCGUGAAGGGGUGGCACAAAAUUGAGGGAAGCGACUGUUUACCAAAAACACAGCAGCGUGCUAAGCCGUAAGGCGCUGUAUACGCUGUGACUCCUGCCCGGUGCUGGAAGGUUACGGGGAUGGGUUAGUCCUUCGGGACGAAGCUCUGAACCUAAGCCCCAGUAAACGGCGGCCGUAACUAUAACGGUCCUAAGGUAGCGAAAUUCCUUGUCGGGUAAGUUCCGACCCGCACGAAUGGAGUAACGACUUCCCUACUGUCUCAACCAUAGACCCAGCGAAAUUGAAGUACGAGUAAAGAUGCUCGUUAGCUGCAGAAGGACGGAAAGACCCCGUGGACCUUUACUAUAACUUGAUGUUGUGUUUUGUCAUAUGUUGUGUAGAAUAGGUGGGAGACUUGGAAGCAUGGACGCUAGUCUGUGUGGAGUCAUCGUUGAAAUACCACCCUGCAUAUGGUGAGGCUCUAACCUAGACCCGUUAUCCGGGUUGGGGACAGCGUCAGGCGGGUAGUUUAACUGGGGCGGUUGCCUCCUAAAGAGUAACGGAGGCGCCCAAAGGUUCCCUCAGCCUGGUUGGCAAUCAGGCGUUGAGUGCAAUGGCAAAAGGGAGCUUGACUGCGUGACCUACAAGUCGAGCAGGAGCGAAAGCUGGGCAUAGUGAUCCGGCGGUUGCGUGUGGAAGCGCCGUCGCUCAACGGAUAAAAGGUACCCCGGGGAUAACAGGCUAAUCUUGCCCAAGCGUCCAUAGCGACGGCAAGGUUUGGCACCUCGAUGUCGGCUCAUCGCAUCCUGGGGCUGAAGCAGGUCCCAAGGGUUGGGCUGUUCGCCCAUUAAAGCGGUACGCGAGCUGGGUUCAGAACGUCGUGAGACAGUUCGGUCCCUAUCCUCUGCAGCCGGAGGUGAAUUGAGGAAAGCUGUCCCUAGUACGAGAGGACCGGGACGGACGCAGCUCUCGUGUGCCAGUUGUCCUGCCAAGGGCAUGGCUGGUUAGCGACCUGCGGAAAGGAUAACCGCUGAAAGCAUCUAAGCGGGAAGCCUCUUCCAAGAUGAAUUCACCCACAGGGUUAACCUGGUAAGGCCCGUGGUAGACCACCACGUUGAUAGGCCGGAAGUGUAAGCGUGGCAACACGUUCAGCUGACCGGUACUAAUCGGCCGAGGGCUCG
This 1440-nucleotide ribosomal RNA is filed under the name metagenome. RNAcentral's name for it is "bacterial LSU rRNA". It matches the Rfam family "Bacterial large subunit ribosomal RNA", at positions 1502 to 2925 of the family's 2925-position model. The record is from RNAcentral.